CAUCUCUGGACCUGGUUUGUGACGGUGUUGAUCCAUGUGGAAGGGACACAGACACCCCAAGAGGCCCCUGUUUCACCUUUAAAUGAUCUGGACCUGUGCCUGAACCAGAACCACAUGGACCCAAGACCAGAGUCAUCAGAGGCAGUGCAGCUCAGGAUUCUUUCAGGAGCCUUCAAUCCUUCAUCUUCAUCUAAUAAAAUCAACUUCUGAUUGGAGAGAGUCCUCAACACCCAGAAGACUUCAUCUCUACACUGCGGCUGCAACAGCAGCAAUCAGUCCUGACGCAGGCACAUGUUCUUAACCCGAACCUUCACAAACACUUGAUGCUCAGCCGUCCUGGUAGGGGAUCCCUCUAAGACUUGGCCUACCUAAAGGUUUCUCCCUUUGUCCUUAAUAAGGUUUUUCUCUGAGUUUUUCCUGAUAUACUUAGAGGGUCGAAGGCUGAGUGGAUAUGAAACGUUUCUAUA
Molecule: long non-coding RNA, 467 nt
Organism: Gymnodraco acuticeps
Lineage: Eukaryota; Metazoa; Chordata; Actinopteri; Perciformes; Bathydraconidae
Exons: 3
Source: RefSeq, a predicted model, not a curated record